RNAcentral lists this long non-coding RNA (403 nucleotides) under Vigna radiata. RNAcentral describes it as "long non-coding RNA (VRAD_LNC011554)". The record is from RNAcentral. Lineage: Eukaryota; Viridiplantae; Streptophyta; Magnoliopsida; Fabales; Fabaceae.
UAUUAUGUUUAUAUAUUACAUAAUUUGCAAAAAAGUGGAGAUGAGAUAAUAAAGUUACUUUGGAAAGUGAUUCUAGUAUUAAUGAGAUUGGUUGUUAAAAAUAAUUAAGACUAUAAUUUUCUUUGGAAAUUGAUUCUGGAAGUUUGCUAUUUUUUUUUUCCAUACAUGCGUUUCUUUUUUAUUUGGAGCAUUACCCCAUCUAAUUGUACGUUAAAAAUAGGUUAGUGCUUGAUGUGGGAAAAGCUUUUCUGGUAAAUGGGUUAUUUUUUUUAUGAGUCCUANCUAUAUAGCUAUUUUCCAUUAUCUUUUGGUAUUUUGGGGUAGCGAUAAAUGUGUAAAAGAAAGAGUAUAUUGAUAAAGAUAUUUUUUCCAAAAUCAAAAGAGCGAUUAGGUAAAAAANNNN